RNAcentral lists this ribosomal RNA (481 nucleotides) under uncultured bacterium. Its description in RNAcentral is "partial 16S ribosomal RNA". It matches the Rfam family "Bacterial small subunit ribosomal RNA", at positions 28 to 507 of the family's 1533-position model. The record is from RNAcentral.
GAUGAACGCUGGCGGCGUGCUUAACACAUGCAAGUCGAACGAAGCACUUUAUUUGAUUUCCUUCGGGACUGAUUAUUUUGUGGCUGAGUGGCGGACGUGUGAGUAACGCGUGGGUAACCUGCCUUGUACAGGGGGAUAACAGUUGGAAACGGCUGCUAAUACUGCAUAAGCGCACAGCAUCGCAUGAUGCAGUGUGAAAAACUCCGGUGGUAUAAGAUGGACCCGCGUUGGAUUAGCUAGUUGGUGAGGUAACGGCCCACCAAGGCGACGAUCCAUAGCCGAGCUGGGAGGGUGACCGGCCACAUUGGGACUGAGACACGGACCAAUCUCCUACGGGAGGCAGCAGUGGGGAAUAUUACACACUGGGCGAAGGCCUGGUGAAGCGACGCCGCGUGAGCGAAGAAGUAUUUCGGUAUGUAAAGCUGUAUCAGCAGGGAAGAUAAUGACGGUACCUGACUAAGAAGCACCGGCUAAAUACGUG